Molecule: ribosomal RNA, 287 nt
Filed under: uncultured bacterium
Lineage: Bacteria
Description: partial 16S ribosomal RNA
Rfam family: Bacterial small subunit ribosomal RNA
Source: RNAcentral
UAGGGAAUCUUCCACAAUGGACGCAAGUCUGAUGGAGCAACGCCGCGUGAGUGAAGAAGGUUUUCGGACCGUAAAGCUCUGUUGUUGGUGAAGAAGGAUAGAGGUAGUAACUGGCCUUUAUUUGAACGGUAAUCAACCAGAAAGUCACGGCUAACUACGUGCCAGCAGCCGCGGUAAUACGUAGGUGGCAAGCGUUGUCCGGAUUUAUUGGGGCGUAAAGCGAGCGCAGGCGGAAGAAUAAGUCUGAUGUGAAAGCCCUCGGCUUAACCGAGGAAUUGCAUCGGAAA